UGGGGAAUUUUGGACAAUGGGCGCAAGCCUGAUCCAGCCAUGCCGCGUGAGUGAAGAAGGCCUGGGUUGUAAAGCUCUUUCGGCCGGGAAGAAAUCGUGUUCUCUAACAUAGGACAUGGAUGACGGUACCGGACUAAGAAGCACCGGCUAACUACGUGCC
RNAcentral lists this ribosomal RNA (160 nucleotides) under uncultured bacterium. RNAcentral describes it as "partial 16S ribosomal RNA". It matches the Rfam family "Bacterial small subunit ribosomal RNA", at positions 355 to 509 of the family's 1533-position model. The record is from RNAcentral.